Oryctolagus cuniculus (rabbit) is the source of this 1126-nucleotide long non-coding RNA. RefSeq lists it as uncharacterized. The record is from RefSeq and is a predicted model, not a curated record. NCBI's taxonomy places the organism in Eukaryota, Metazoa, Chordata, Mammalia, Lagomorpha, Leporidae.
CUUCUCUUGUAGGAGAGGGAGCCCACAUUGCUCCAGUUUUUUUUUUUUUCCCCCCUGGAAACAAGAGAACAGAAAAUUCCAGCUGAAAGUCUCAUUCCCUCCUCCUUGGUAGUUUGGGGCUGGGCCCGCAGUUCCUCUCUGCAGAAGAGGAACCCAUGAGUGCAUGCCAUUCUCUUGGGAGAGAGGCGCUGGCCUCUGGCAUUCCUCUCGUGGGCGGGGAGGCUGAUACUUCCUGCACACAGGGAGGCUGGUUCUCUAGUGCGUGAAAGAGGAAGAAGCCCUCAAAUGGAAGAGACCUGAAAGGAGCAAGAAACUCUAGCUCCUGGGGAAACCUGGAGCCUAAGGCGGCCUUGGGAAGGGGUCCAGAGAAGUGGCUCCUGGAGCUACCACUGCUGAUCUUUUUGAAUGUGGCUACCAGAGAAGUUAAGUUUGUGCAUGUGGUUUGCAUUUAUUUCUGUUGGACUGGGCUGCGCUGGAGGGUCUAUAUCUGGGGCUGGGGACAGACCUGCAGGAGUCUGGGCAAAUUUUAAACUGGUUUUCCUCUAGUUGAAAAAUUUUUUUUUUAAGAAAAUGCAUCGCUGUGGCCAGCAUGUAGCACAGAGGUUAAGCAGCUGUCUGAAUGUCGGAAUCCCAUAUGGGCACCAGUACUCAUUACGGCUGCUCUGCUUCCUAUCCAGCUCCCUGGUAAUGCACCUGCGGAAGCAGUAGAGGAUGACCCAAGUGCGUGGGCUCCUGAAUCCACAUGGGAGACCCGGAUGAAGAUCUUGGCUCUUGGCUUUGGCCUGGCCCAACCCCAGCUGUUGUGGUCAUUUGUGGAAUGAAUCAGUGGAUCAAACAUCAGGAAUCCAUGGGGACAGGGGAUUCUGUCACAUUGCAGACCAAGACACGGACCCGUAAAUAUGGAGGAGGUCCCCUGAGAGACUGGAGCUUACUGUUUCUUCUACAUUUACUCAAAACUCUCUGCUGUGGCCUGGGAAAGCAGUAGAAAUGGCCUUGCACCUGCGUGGGAGACCCCGAAGAAGCACCUGGCUCCUGGCUUUGGUUCAGCACAGCUCUAGCCAUUGCAACCAUCUGGGGAGUGAACCAACGGAAGGAAGACCUCUCUCUCUCUGUCUCUCCCUCUCAC